Molecule: long non-coding RNA, 1325 nt
Filed under: Mytilus galloprovincialis (Mediterranean mussel)
Lineage: Eukaryota; Metazoa; Mollusca; Bivalvia; Mytilida; Mytilidae
Source: RNAcentral
GACGAAUCAUACAAAAUAAAAAUAAAUACUUUGAUAGAUAAAUAUGAAAAAUUAAGAAAUAAAAAAGUCUAGCAAUCGUGUGGGAUCUUUUUAAAAUAGAAGUAAGAGAGAAAACUAUAGAACAUUGUAAAUUAAAAGCUAAACAUAAAAGAGAUGAAAUUACAAAACUAGAACAAGAACUUAAACUUUUGAAUGAAAUUCAUGAUAACAACCUGGAUGGAAAAAAUAAUUUGCCAAAUAUAAUAGAUUCAAUAAAUAAAACAGAAGAAACGCUACAAACUCUAUAUUCAGAUAAAAUAAAAGGGGCACAAAUAAGAUCACGAGUUAAAUGGAUAGAAGAGGGCGAAAAAAAUAUACAAAAUAUUUCUUGGGAUUAGAAAAAUCAAGACAAAACAAGGAAAAACAUUACUGCUAUAAGGGACAGUAAAGGAGAAAUAACAGAAGAUCAAGGCAAAAUAUUAGAAACGGGGAGAAAUUAUUAUGUCAAUUUAUAUAAGUCAACUAACCCUGAUCUAACAGAAAUUGAAAAUUAUAUUGAAAAAACUAAAAUAAAUUACAAAUUAAGUACAAAAGAAGGUAAUGAAAUUGACGGCAACCUGACAAUAGAGGAAUGUACACAAUCUGUUUUUAAAAUGAAACUUAAUAAAACACCAGGUAUCGAUGGUCUCUCAAUUGAAUUUUAUAGAGCUUUCUGGUCAAACUUACAAAACUUUGCUGUAGAUGUUUUUAAUAAUUGCUAUGAAAAAAAAAGAAUUAACAAAUUCUCAGAAACUUGGAUUAAUUACCCUUAUAUACAAGAAAAACGACCCAUUAAAUUUAGAUAAUUAUAGACCAAUUACCUUACUAAAUGUAGAUACCAAAAUUAUAGCAUACUCUCUUGCACAAAGACUGAAACCAAUAUUGCAUAAAAUCAUUCAUAGUGAUCAAAACGGUUAUGUAAAAAACAGAUAUAUAGGAUUUAAUAUUAGACAAAUCCAAGAUAUUAUAGAUUAUUCGGAAAAAUUCAAUGUAGAUGGAGCUAUCCUAUUUUUAGACUUCACAAAGGCAUUUGACUCGCUAGAAUGGGAAUUUAUGUAUUGUUCUUUAAAGAAAUUUGGCUUCCAGGAAUCUCUUUUGAGGUGGAUAAAUACGUUUAUACACAGAUAUAAAGGGUUGCAUAUUAAAUAAUGGCUGGAUUUCAAGACCCUUCAACAUUGAGCGCGGAAUCCGUCAAGGGUGUCCCGCGAGUUCUAUAAUUUUCGUAAUUGCUGUUGAAAUUUUAGCUAGUAGAUUAAGACAAAAUAAAAAUUUUAAAGGUUUUCAAAUUAAACUAGAUAAUAAAACCC